ACCUGCUCCGAGCUCGAUUUCCCUUUCAAGCUGUGUGUUCUGCGGGGGCAGGGAGAGCUGCAAUGGCUCAUCUUUCAGGACAUGCUGCAAAGGGCCUUUGAAGUCAUCCGCCCUGCUCUUGGCACCUUGCGCCUGGAGCUGAGCUCUUCCAAAAAUGACCCCUGCGCAUUCCGUGGUGCGGCCGCCCAGCCCAGGCAGUCGCGGUCCAGAGCAGGGGAAGCAGCAGCGCGGCCGGCAGCUGGGAGAGCCGAGGCCCCGAGGGAGGACCCUGCCUCAAGCCAAGCAACCAGGCCCUGCGGCCCUCUCCCCACCGCCGUGCGGCCCUGGCGCAGGGAACCGGGACGGGGCUUUCCGGCCUUGAAGGGCACACUUACUCCACCAAACAUUCCCAUCGUCGGCUGAUGGAGGGCCUCGAGCUGGGCGCUGUGGGUACGUUAUCCUAUUUACUUCUCUCGGUAGCCCUGCACCAUCGCCUCUGGUUCCCAGUAUAUGCCCUUCUAGAGAGACCUGCCAGACUGAGCUGCUUCCAUCAGCCAGACAUGAGGAUAAGAGCAUUUAGGCUCCAGGCUUAUCUGACUGGUCAGAGGAAUGGAUCAGUGGCCCCCAUUCAUUCUCCUGUCUCUUUCUGGAGUCACAACUUAGCACUGGAAAUACAUCAUGGGACCAGGCCCCUCGUGAAGCUUGCAUUCUGGAAAUUAAGAGCCUCCGUCUCUCUGGUCUCUUGUUUCUUAAAGUGUGGACUCUAGACCAGCAUCGUCAGCAUCCUCUGGGAGCUGGUUGGGAGUGCAGCAUCUUAGCCUCAAGCCCCACU
This 811-nucleotide long non-coding RNA is filed under the name Pan troglodytes (chimpanzee). RNAcentral describes it as "long non-coding RNA NONPTRT008828". The record is from RNAcentral. Lineage: Eukaryota; Metazoa; Chordata; Mammalia; Primates; Hominidae.